CUGCUGCCUCCCGUAGGAGUCUGGGCCGUGUCUCAGUCCCAGUGUGGGGGGCCUUCCUCUCAGAACCCCUACGCAUCGUCGCCACGGUGGGCCGUCACCCCGCCGUCUAGCUAAUGCGCCGCAUGCCCAUCCGCCACCGGAUCGCUCCUUUGGCCACCGGAGGAUGCCCUCCGGUGGCGUCACGGGGUAUUAGGCCGCGUUUCCGCGGGUUAUCCCCCUGUGGCGGCCAGGUUGCAUACGUGUUACUCACCCGUGCGCCGGUCGCCGGG
This 269-nucleotide ribosomal RNA is filed under the name uncultured bacterium. Its description in RNAcentral is "partial 16S ribosomal RNA". The record is from RNAcentral.